UCCUGGCUCAGGAUGAACGCUGGCGGCGUGCUUAACACAUGCAAGUCGAACGAUGAUCCGGUGCUUGCAUCGGGGAUUAGUGGCGAACGGGUGAGUAACACGUGAGUAACCUGCCCUUAACUCUGGGAUAAGCCUGGGAAACUGGGUCUAAUACCGGAUAUGACUCCUCAUCGCAUGGUGGGGGGUGGAAAGCUUUAUUGUGGUUUUGGAUGGACUCGCGGCCUAUCAGCUUGUUGGUGAGGUAAUGGCUCACCAAGGCGACGACGGGUAGCCGGCCUGAGAGGGUGACCGGCCACACUGGGACUGAGACACGGCCCAGACUCCUACGGGAGGCAGCAGUGGGGAAUAUUGCACAAUGGGCGCAAGCCUGAUGCAGCGACGCCGCGUGAGGGAUGACGGCCUUCGGGUUGUAAACCUCUUUCAGUAGGGAAGAAGCGAAAGUGACGGUACCUGCAGAAGAAGCGCCGGCUAACUACGUGCCAGCAGCCGCGGUAAUACGUAGGGCGCAAGCGUUAUCCGGAAUUAUUGGGCGUAAAGAGCUCGUAGGCGGUUUGUCGCGUCUGCCGUGAAAGUCCGGGGCUCAACUCCGGAUCUGCGGUGGGUACGGGCAGACUAGAGUGAUGUAGGGGAGACUGGAAUUCCUGGUGUAGCGGUGAAAUGCGCAGAUAUCAGGAGGAACACCGAU
This 685-nucleotide ribosomal RNA is filed under the name Arthrobacter humicola. Its description in RNAcentral is "bacterial SSU rRNA". It matches the Rfam family "Bacterial small subunit ribosomal RNA", at positions 17 to 713 of the family's 1533-position model. Lineage: Bacteria; Bacillati; Actinomycetota; Actinomycetes; Micrococcales; Micrococcaceae. The record is from RNAcentral.